RNAcentral lists this non-coding RNA (89 nucleotides) under Devosia sp. Root436. RNAcentral describes it as "Glycine riboswitch aptamer". It matches the Rfam family "Glycine riboswitch aptamer". From Rfam's summary of the family: This family represents the bacterial glycine riboswitch. Glycine riboswitches usually consist of two metabolite-binding aptamers domains with similar structures in tandem. The aptamers cooperatively bind glycine to regulate the expression of downstream genes. The record is from Rfam by way of RNAcentral. Lineage: Bacteria; Pseudomonadati; Pseudomonadota; Alphaproteobacteria; Hyphomicrobiales; Devosiaceae. RNAcentral also lists the same sequence under 1 other name.
CGGCCAACUGCGGGAGAGAUUGGAUUUUCUCCAGCGCCGAAGGAGCAACCGCCCCGGAAACUCUCAGGCAAAAGGACCGCAGUCAGGUC